GACGAACGCUGGCGGCGUGCCUAAUACAUGCAAGUAGAACGCACAGUUUAUACCGUAGCUUGCUACACCAUAGACUGUGAGUUGCGAACGGGUGAGUAACGCGUAGGUAACCUGCCUGGUAGCGGGGGAUAACUAUUGGAAACGAUAGCUAAUACCGCAUAAUAUUGAUUAUUGCAUGAUAAUUGAUUGAAAGAUGCUAUUGCAUCACUACCAGAUGGACCUGCGUUGUAUUAGCUAGUAGGUGAGGUAACGGCUCACCUAGGCGACGAUACAUAGCCGACCUGAGAGGGUGAUCUGCCACACUGGGACUGAGACACGGCCCAGACUCCUACGGGAGGCAGCAGUAGGGAAUCUUCGGCAAUGGACGAAAGUCUGACCGAGCAACGCCGCGUGAGUGAAGAAGGUUGUCGGAUCGUAAAGCUCUGUUGUAAGAGAAGAACGGGUGUGAGAGUGGAAAGUUCACACUGUGACGGUAUCUUACCAGAAAGGGACGGCUAACUACGUG
This 505-nucleotide ribosomal RNA is filed under the name uncultured bacterium. RNAcentral's name for it is "partial 16S ribosomal RNA". It matches the Rfam family "Bacterial small subunit ribosomal RNA", at positions 28 to 507 of the family's 1533-position model. The record is from RNAcentral.